UAAGUCAGCAGGGCAGUGGCGGGCAGAGCAGAGCCAGAAGUGUUGGAGUCCGCCACGGCAACACACCCGUGACAUGUGACGCUCAGCUUUUUCGCUUCCCACCUUCAUAGCGGUGGCGGCGGUGGUGAUGGUUACAGGUGGCGACGCAAUCCUCAACAGGUCCCCCACCAUGUCGAACCUCACGCAGGAGAUCGCCUAUUCCUUGGUGGUCAACCAGUUGGCAAUACUGAAGAGCAUGAACGAGUCUUCCUCCCUCUGUGCCUCCCGUGACACGGAACUUCGUUUGUGGGAGGAGGAGGCAAACCAACAAUUGCAAGAGACAGAGAUGCGGCAGCAGGCUGUGAAGGAGACGGUGCAAGCACAACAGCAGGAUGUGAACAAAGUUAAAAGACGGCACCGGGCGUUGAAGAAGACCGUGCAGGCACAGCACCAGGCGGUGGAGGCAGUGGAAGGACGGCAGCAGACAGUGGAGAAGACGGUGCAGGCACAGCAGCAGGCGGUGGAGCCAAUGGAAGGGCGGCAGCAGACAGUGGAGAAGACGGUGCAUGCACAGCAGCAGGCGGUGGAGGCAAUGGAAGGGCGGCAGCAGGCAGUGGAAGAGUCAGGGCAGACACAGCAGCAGGCAGUGGAGGUAGUGGAAAGGCAGCAGCAGAAGGUGGAGAAAGCAGCGCAGGCACAACAGCAGGCGGUGGGGGCAGUGGAAGGGCAGCAGCAGGCGGUGGAGGAGACAGUGCAUGCACAGCAGCAGGCGGUGGAGGCAGUGGAAAGGCGGCAGCAGGCGGUGGAGAAGACGGUGCAGACACAAGAGCAGGCGGCGGAGGGAGUGGAAGGGCGACAGCAGGUGAUGGAGAAGACGGUGCAGACACAGCAGCAGGCGGUGGAGGCUGUGGAAGGGCGGCAGCAGGUGGUGGAGAAGAUGGUGCAGACACAACAGCAGGCGGUGAAGGUAGUGGAAGGGCGUCAGCAGGCUGUGGAAGGGCGACAGCAGGCGGUGGAGGAGACGGUGCAGACACAGCAGCAUGCGGUGGAGGCAGUAGAAGGGCGGCAACAGGCUGUGGAAGGCUGGCAGCAGGCGGUAGAAAAGACAAUGCAGAUACAGCAGCAGGCGGUGGAGGCAGUGGAAGGGCGGCAGCAGGUCUCCUCCACCGCCUGCUGUUGUGUCUGCACCGUCUCUCCACCGCCUGCUGCCGCCCUUCCACAGCCUCCACCGCUUGCUGCUCAUAGACCGAUCUUCGGGUAGGACUGAGACCACAACACACUCCACACACCGGAAAAGCGAGGCCACAACCCCUCGAGUUACAUCCCGUACCUAUUUACUGCUAGGUGAACAGGGGCCACACAUUAAGAGGCUUGCCCAUUUGCCUCGCCACCUCUGGGAUUCGGACCCAGACCCCCUCGAUUGAUAAUGAAUUUGUGUAUUGGACCAUCUCUCUACCAGCCUCUUAUGAACACUGUCAAGACUAACCUGUUCGUUGUGAAAAUUAUAACAAACUUUUACGGAGGAAUGGGUGUGCACUACCAGGCCGUGCCCAUACAGAGGGACGGUAUUCACGCCGCUGCUUCCUCCCUACAGUAGCUAUCCACAGACACACCUGAAUUACCUUUACAUUAUGUCUUGUACUACAUUACUGUAACAUGUAACUAAUAAAUAAAAGUUUUAAUGUAUUUGA
This 1670-nucleotide unclassified non-coding RNA is filed under the name Portunus trituberculatus (swimming crab). RNAcentral describes it as "protein Ycf2-like, transcript variant X1". Lineage: Eukaryota; Metazoa; Arthropoda; Malacostraca; Decapoda; Portunidae. The record is from RNAcentral.